RNAcentral lists this ribosomal RNA (438 nucleotides) under uncultured bacterium. RNAcentral's name for it is "partial 16S ribosomal RNA". It matches the Rfam family "Bacterial small subunit ribosomal RNA", at positions 29 to 507 of the family's 1533-position model. The record is from RNAcentral.
AACGAACGCUGGCGGCAUGCCUAACACAUGCCAGUCGAACGAGACCUUCGGGUCUAGUGGCGCACGGGUGCGUAACGCGUGGGAACCUGCCCUUAGGUUCGGAAUAACUCCCCGAAAGGGGUGCUAAUACCGCAUAAUGUCUUCGGACCAAAGAUGUGGCGCCUCGGGAUGGGCCCGCGUUGGAUUAGCUUGUUGGUAGGGUAGAAGCCUACAAAGGCGAGGAUGGGUAGCUGGUCUGAGAGGAUGAUCGGACACAUUGGGACUGAGACACGGCCCAGACUCCUACGGGAGGCAGCAGUGGGGAAUAUUGAAAAAUGGGAGGAAGCCGGAUGCAGCAACGCCGCGUGCGGGAUGACGGCCUUCGGGUGGUAAACAGCUUUCGCCUGUGACGAAGCGUGAGUGACGGUAAUGGGUAAAGAAGCACCGGCUAACUACGUG